This 466-nucleotide ribosomal RNA is filed under the name uncultured bacterium. Its description in RNAcentral is "partial 16S ribosomal RNA". It matches the Rfam family "Bacterial small subunit ribosomal RNA", at positions 29 to 507 of the family's 1533-position model. The record is from RNAcentral.
ACGAACGCUGGCGGCGUGCUUAACACCUGCAAGUCGAACGGAAAGGCUCCAGCUUGCUGGAGUGCUCGAGUGGCGAACGGGUGAGUAACACGUGGGCAAUCUGCCCUGCACUCUGGGAUAAGCCUGGGAAACUGGGUCUAAUACCGGAUAGGACCUUUCUCCUCAUGGGGUUUGGUGGAAAGUUUUUCGGUGCAGGAUGAGCCCGCGGCCUAUCAGCUUGUUGGUGGGGUAAUGGCCUACCAAGGCGACGACGGGUAGCCGGCCUGAGAGGGUGAUCGGCCACAUUGGGACUGAGAUACGGCCCAGACUCCUACGGGAGGCAGCAGUGGGGAAUAUUGCACAAUGGGCGAAAGCCUGAUGCAGCGACGCCGCGUGAGGGAUGACGGCCUUCGGGUUGUAAACCUCUUUCAGUAGGGACGAAGCGCAAGUGACGGUACCUGCAGAAGAAGCACCGGCUAACUACGUG